GUGUGGGACAGCCUCCCCGAGAAGCCCCGUGGGAGUGCGCGUGGCUGAAGGCACAGAUGCCAACAAGGUUUACGAUCAGCCCUCCAACAGAGACCGGCUGUGAGAGGGAGAAAAGUCUUCAGCUUCACUGCAUCCUCACAGACAGACAAUAGAAGAGCAAAAAGCUACAGGUUGCCUUAUUCCAAAGAACCAUAAAAGCUCGUCCAAAAGAAUUCUGCACACCUCAAUUUUCUGAUUGGCUUCCCAGUCACACAGACCACAGAUUUACUACAGUUUAGACAAGAAUACGUACAUAAAACAAAGAAGACAGCACUCACUACCACCCCUCCAGAAAGAACAUGCUCUGUGCUUUCAUGGUGUGGUGGCUUGUUCAUAGCUCGAAGCUGGUCUGUUAUUGGAUGCGUCCAAAAGUUUCCAAAAAGCAGUGCACUAAUGAAAAUAAGAAAGGAUCCAUAUCGAGCACAUGUGGAAGCUUCCAUUUUCACAGAGCAUAUGGACUCCACGUAGAAAUCCAGGAUCACAACAAAGAAGAUGACUGUUAUGAAAGGCAUGAUGAGAGAAGACCAAGACUCUACUUUACUCUGCAACAAAAAAAAAAAAAUUUCAAACACAACUGCUCACCGGAAGAGUGAUUUGUAUAUAUAGCAUUAAAUGUAGUUCACUUGAAUGACAAGUGUUUUCACUAAUCCAUAAAACAUAAAUACUUUUAUAUUUUCAAUUUAUCAUAUAAACAUAUCAUUCCAGAUAUAAAAAGAGACAUAUAUCUAAAAUGCACUGAAGCCCUUUAUUUUAAAUACUUUUGUGUUCGUAAAAGGAAUUCUAACAAUGCCAUGGUUGCAAUGGCCUACUCUCCCUAUGCAUGCAAGCAUGAAGAGCAUUUUUAAAAAUGACAAUAAAUUAUUUACUUCUUAGGGAUAAAAGAGCACUGUAUUUAUAAAGUCAUUAAUGCUUGUGCAAUGUUAGUAGAUGAACCCAAGGUAUAGUAUCUGCGCUAGAAGGAUGAAACACAGUUAUCACACAAAACAGGAAAUUAAAGUAUCACACAGAUAAAAAACGAAUAUAGAAGAAAAACAUAAUGGAAAAAUUUCAAACAAAGCUUACUACAAAAAAUAAAGACAGCAACAUUGAUAAUUUUAAAGAUACUUUAAAGGAAAGAUUUAAAUUGCAAUUCACAAUCAUUAUAAAAAUUAUUUAUUUUUGUACUUAUUAUCUUACCUCUGUUGUCAGAGAGAGAACAAUAACCCAUGGGCACAACAGAAGGACAGAAACAAGAUGAGACAAAGCUUGAAGACGCUUGGCUCCACCUACAUCUACAGAUAGUUUUCGGGAUGCCAUGUGAAAACCAACCUUGCAGCAUAAUGCCAGUACCAGAAGUAGUACUCCACCCUGGAAACAUAACAGGAUUCCAUUAGCAUUUCUUAAGUACUAAAAACCUCACUCCAAACACAGUGACACUUACAAGGAGGAAAUAUUACUGUAUUUUCCUUAACCUGGAAACAAAAGCCAAAACGAGGAUAUUUCCUGUAAUUUUUACUCUAGCUACAAACACUAACAUAGCAUACACAGCUGUGCCUUAGCACUACUCACAACAGCCCGAGCUGAAUUUUAAAACUCUUAAUAGUAUUAACUGGCAUACACCAGCAGCAAAAUGGUAGCAAUCAGCAUCUGAGGAAGAAGAAUAAUCACCCAAAGUUUUCCCAUCUUCCAUUAUUAAAAGCAUGUUGAAAGCAUACAUAAACCCCCAAAGAUUCACAUAAUCUUGUCCUCUAAACCCCUCAUAGCCUUUUCAUCCACUUACCUUUGAACACACCUUAUUUCUUCACAAUAUACUUUCAAAAUUUGUCUUUAAAUUAAUUACCAGAUACACAGCACCUCAUCUCCCUUAGAUCACACUUGCUUUUUUGCACCAUUAACCAGUCUUUCUAAUAUUUCAUUUAUUUUUACAUUAAUACAUUUUCAGCUGCUCAAUUUUUUUCCUGUUUCAGUCCUCAAUGAAGCCGCUUUAGCAAGACUAAGCUAACACAACUCAAUCAGCCAGUUUAACCCCGUACAGUCAGAUUAUGAUAUUCAGCUAUUCAUACCACCAAUUACAAUGGGACUAUCUUACUGAGAAGUAUCAGUGUCUUCAAAUACAAGUAUAAUGUAAAGGAAAGACUGGGGAAAUCUAAAGAUGCAGAAGGAAAACACAGGCCCCAAAAAACAACAACAGGCAAAGGCAGCAGAACACAAAAAGCAGAGACUUACCAGAUAACUCAGGACAUAUCACCACUGCAGAAAGCUAGAUGCUGGUAUCUUAUGAACUUUAAGUGUGAUUACUUUCUUCACAGUGUCUUUCUGCCUGCCAGAAUGCACUGCUACUACAACCUGAUGAUUUAAUAUUUCAUAGCAUCAAUGAGCUACAAACAAGAUCCGUACAAACUGCUGGAUUUUCUCUUAUGGGACCUGAAGGCUAAAGAACUAUACAAAGACUAUGAGAAACAACAGCUCUGAAGUUCUUUUGUCUGGAAAGGACAUAGGUAGCUAUGAAAUCCCAGCUCCCAGAGCUUUCACCACUCAGGCUUAAACCACUGCAAGUAGUAUGUCUUACUAUUUCACCACCAAUUAAACUAAAAAAGCACAUUUUCUAUGAACAUGGACCCAAAACAGUUUGUUCCAGGUAAAGAAGUACUUGAAUUUAUAGGAUUUAGUAUGUUUUACAUUUGAUAAAAGAGAUUUUUAAAUACCUUUGCUGGUCCUCCGCCUGAGCUUGUGAACAAGACACUAAGGAGUGACAGCACAACCACAUCACUGUGCUCAAACAGUAAUAAUGUCCUAUAAAAAAAAAAAGGAAAUAAAUACUCCCUUUACAAUGAGUUUGCCUCAAAACCUUGAUAUACACUAUUUCAGCUAAAAUUAGUGACACAACAAAUAUUUAUCCUACGAUUACAAGACCAGGUUUAAAAAUUAAAAAGAAAAAAACCACAAAUGAAUUUGCCUUCACCAGCAAUACAUCUAGCUGCAGACAACUAUACAUGUUACAAAACAGGAACUUCCUAACUCAAGUAACAGAUUAAAAUUAUUAAUUUAUGGACAACUUUAAAUUGUAUUUUCUUCUAGCAAUACAACAAGAUACCAACUUGCCCAAAAUGGAGUUAUUAUUCCCAUUAUAAUACCUCCUCUAAAUAAGUUCUGCUCCCAGAGAAAAAAAGAUGUCCUGUUCUGUACUAAUGCAUACUGGUCAUUGAGGUGCUGAUGAACUAGUAGAUUAUGCCACCUCAAAACCUCUUAAUUGCUGAAAAUAAAAAAUUAUAGCUUCCAUACUACCUCCUUCAGACAGCAAAGGCUAACUACCAAGUUGUACUGACAGCUUUCCUGAGCAGAACAUGAAAGUAAUUAUUGCUCUCAAGUUUACCAAACGCUUUUGUAUUGCUCUGCACAGCAAUACAACAUGACUGCACCCAUGUAACUGGUUUGGUUUGGGAAGACUGCCAGCACCCAGAAAGACAUAAGAGUAUUAACUACAUUAACAUAAUUAAUCACAAUAGUAUUACUCUUAGUUAUGCCUUCUAUGGCAUCUAUCAUCUAUGUGUAGAUGAUAAAAAUUCACCUUCAUAAAACAUAUAAUUUACUUUCCUCUCUAGAGUGAAACGUGCUUUCCAAUAUAUUAACCUUCACUUUUGAAGGUCUAGCUACUCUUUCACAGUUACUCAGUCAGUAGGACUAACACACAGCACAAAUAGUUUUACCUGUAUAUGCACUAAUGUUACCCAGUUUCAACACAGAGCGCACAGCCAACCAGAUAAAGAAUUACUCUGCAAUAAGUGCAGAAAUUGAUUCUAGUCACCUGUCAAAGGAAUACCAGCUGCUACCAUUAGCCAUCAGGCCACAGACUCCAAACAGGUAAAUAAACAGUUGGCAUUACAUUAUUGAGAGAAGCAACAAAAACUGCACUAUGUCACCUAGAUGUAUCACUCACAUCAAGUGUUUAAGCGCUAUCAAGAAUUUCACUGGCAUCUCAUAAAAGAAGUAGUUCUUCUGGUAGAAGAAAUUUACCAGAUCUACAGAAAUUAUAUGUACUUCUUCCCAAGCACUAAAGAUUUCACAUGAAAAUUAAUAAGGAUUCAAUAAGCUUUUGCAUAUGCAUCAAAUGGCUAGCAGCACUGUCUGACAGACAGGAAAAAAAACAACAAAGGAGCAAGACAGGGAAGGAUCACAGAAGAAAACUAGUAUUUAAAGUAGAUAUGUAUUUACCUCAGCGGUCCACAUAGAGUAAGGCCAAAAAACCACAAGAGUGAAAUGACACAUCCAACAACAGCAUGCUUAAAAAUUUUGAUCCACUACAAAAGAAAGGUAUUUCAUUAUCAUUUUCUCCAGAGUUUCAAAAUAAACACUCUAUUACUAGCGUUGUUUUAGUGCAACAGCUCUAUAAAUUGAGGGGAAAACAUGUACUUUGCAAGUUCUAUAAUUUACAGUAUGAUUAUCUUCUUAGAUACUUUGCCAGGCAACUAAGAUUUGGACAUACUAUGAAUCAGAUUUUUUUUUAUACCACAGUCCUAAAUUCUGUAACAUUGUCUGAGUUCUCAACAAAAAGCCUGAAAAAAUAGUUCAAAAAAAUGAAGUCCAUUUACCCAUUCUGUAAUCUAUUACAUAUAUCAGAAAAAAAGAUAAACUGAAUACGAACUAGAUGAAAUAUACAAAUUGAGGCUAAGACCUUAUGCCUACAAAUAUUUAUGUGUGUUAUAUUCUUUCUUCAGGAAGCAGGCUGUAAUUCAGAUAUUCAAUACUUUAUUAACUUCAGAUGCAAGUUUUAAAAGAAAUUAAUUCUGGAAAUAUGCUAAACAAGGUGAAACACCUACAACAAACAUAACAUCUUAAAAAUCCAGAAUUUGAAAUGUUUUAGCAAAAGUAAAACCACAUAUGGACAGAUUUUUUCUGAACUCAAAUCAAAGAUGCCAUUUAUUCCUGUUUACAUUUUAAAAUUCUGCCAUAUGCAUCUAGUCAUGAAAAGCAGUUGACACAAGGAACACUUCAAGGCCAUCCUUCAGAUUCUGUCUACUUACUGCACACACUGGAUCCAGGUUUUGUGCACACAAUUACAUAAAUCCAAGAUGAAUAUGAAGCAGUGAGAAAAUUUAUUCCUCACAAUCAGCACAAAUCCAACCUGGUUCUACUCUAAACUCCUUGGGAUACUGUGAACUCACAAAGGUCUGAUGAGCCGUUAGAUUAGGCCCUCAUCACAAGCACAUGGGUCACUUCUCUUCUGAGUGACAAGACUGGAGCAUUUUGACAUUCUGGCAGUCCAGAAAUUGCCUAACUGUCCAGGCGAGCUAAGUAGACUGAGCUCUUUUUGAAAAUCCAGUCCUUACAGCACAUGCUGGCUUGGCGAUAAGGACCAGCCCUUCCACUGUACUCUCAAAAGAAGCUGACAAAAGUGAAGAAUGUGUCAGUCCACAAGACACUGAGUUAGUAGUAUACCUCUAGAACUUGUAACCACUUCUUCUAAGUAGAGUAAUCUUUGUUCACCACUCAAUUUUGGCAAGAGCCAUAUUGCCAAGAAUAUUGCAAAGAAUGUGAGUCACUCCUACCUAUGUCAACUCACCUGACGCUUGGUUAUUACUUUUCCAGAAGAAAAUGGUUUUUGAAACAAAACCAUAAAAAAAGCAGACCUGUAAAAAGAAGCCAUGCUAACAACAGUCACUGGUUUUAUUUUCCCUGCUGCACUACCCCCAUCAGCUACCACUACUACAGUAAAGACAAGAGAACUUCAGUUCUGGUCAACUUCAAAUGCCAGUUCUUGAGAGAAUAGCUAAUGGUAAGUCAACUUGUGAUUUACAAAAAUCAAAAUAACUGAUCUGACAAGUUUUGAAGAGAAACAAUACUUUGAUUUUUAUUAGCAAGAUAGGUAUCCAAAAAGCCUUACUCAGAUACAGAAUGCUGAAUACACAGUCCUAUAGGAAUAAAAGACACAGCACACAACUUCAUCAAGUAGGAUCAAAAGUGAUGGGCAAAAAAAAACUAUGGUGCUUGGGAAGAUGCAAGAAAGAAGUCCAUAAAUAUACUGAAUAUGAAAUAAAAGGAAAAAAUGAAAUUCCAAAUGUUCCAACUCUCAAGUUUAUUUCAUAAAUGCUCUUCCAUAUCUCAUCAGGUAAACAUGAAGCAGGAUUUUGUCUGCAAAGAUUGUUUCUGUGUAUUUGCUAUCAGUUUUCAUACCUAACCCCUCAACUGGGGAAAAAGAGCAGCUGAAUCCCACAAGAACUUCAGGAAUACAAAUUAUAAAGAAGAAAGCUGAUCUUCUACACCCUUGUUAACAAAAUUUGGACAGGCCCGAGUGUCCGGGUUUCCUCUUGGACUGAGAUAAAUUUUUCUCAGUAGCUGCUACUCCAAUGCUACUGCAGUGCUAUUUUGGAUUCAGUGUGAGAACAAUAUUGAUAACACAGUUUUGGCUGUUCCUUAGUGCUGCUUAUCCAAAGUCAAGGACUUUUUGGUUUCCCACACUCCGGCAGCAAGCAGGUGCACAACAAGCUGGGAGGCAGCAUGGCCAGGAGACCUGGCCUGAACAGGCCAAAGGGAUGCUCCAUGCCAUAAAUACCAUAUACUCAGUACAUAAACUGAGGGAACUACCCACAUGGGGUCAGAUUGUGGAUUGGGGAUGGGCCGGGUAGCGCCACUGUGUGUUGAGUGGUAGCACUGUGCAUCACUUCCUUUUAUUACUGUAUUUGCUUAUUAACUUACUAACAAUUGAUCAGCUUAUUAAGUUCAAUUAUAAAACUCUUCUUAUCGCAAGUCAUGAGUUUUAUUUUUUGAUUUCCUCCUGAUUCUCCUGCCCAGCCCCCUGGGGUGAGGGAAGGUGAGAGCACAUUUGUGUGAUGAUGGUGGAUUGCCAGCUGGAGCAACAGGCACACCAUGACCAACAGCACUGUCAGAACAGGCCCAACUCCAAAGCUGGAAAAACACUGACGUUUCUUGAGGGCAGAGAGGCCUUACAGAGACAUGUGGAAAGACUAGAAAACUGGACAACUGCCAAUGACAUGAAAAGAACGAGUGCUGAUUCUCCAUCUGUGGCGAGGUAACCCUGCUUGUAUGCACAAAGCAGGGCACAAA
Passer domesticus (house sparrow) is the source of this 7080-nucleotide long non-coding RNA. RefSeq lists it as uncharacterized. The transcript is spliced from 5 exons. The record is from RefSeq and is a predicted model, not a curated record. Lineage: Eukaryota; Metazoa; Chordata; Aves; Passeriformes; Passeridae.